RNAcentral lists this transfer RNA (73 nucleotides) under Paramuricea clavata. It matches the Rfam family "tRNA". From Rfam's summary of the family: Transfer RNA (tRNA) molecules are approximately 80 nucleotides in length. The record is from Rfam by way of RNAcentral. Lineage: Eukaryota; Metazoa; Cnidaria; Anthozoa; Malacalcyonacea; Plexauridae.
GACCGCGUACCUCAGUUGUCAGAGCAUUGGGCUAGUAUUCCAAAGGUCGUAGGUUCGAUUCCCACCGUGGUCA